Long non-coding RNA from Telopea speciosissima, 409 nucleotides. RefSeq lists it as uncharacterized. The record is from RefSeq and is a predicted model, not a curated record. The transcript is spliced from 3 exons. Lineage: Eukaryota; Viridiplantae; Streptophyta; Magnoliopsida; Proteales; Proteaceae.
ACACUUCUGCUGAACCUGGAGAGAGCAUCCAUGGUCAGUGCUUUUUGCAUGCUACAAUGGAGGAGUAUAUGUAAAUGCAGUUUAGGGUUGUUUUUUCCUUACCUCCCACACACCCCCUUCCCCCCACAUUCCUAGAUAUCAGUAUCCUGAUCUAUUGAUACUUUUGGAAUGUUAAGUGAUGGAGGUAUGUGGGUCUUUCUCUCUUUUUUCCUUUUGUUUUCUUCUUUCUUGUAGUUUUCUGUAUUGGCUGAUAGAAGUUUGUAAUAUAUUGCUCAGCAUUGCAAUGGAAGUUUUGUCUAGAGCUUGAGGGAAUUGAGUUCAACAUGUACUUAUUUUAGUUACUAACUUGCAAAUAAACUUUGAGAUAUGCUUUAAUAGCUCACUUUUAUAAUAGUAUGAAGGAGUUAUU